GACGAACGCUGGCGGCAUGCCUUACACAUGCAAGUCGAACGGCAGCACGGGUGCUUGCACCUGGUGGCGAGUGGCGAACGGGUGAGUAAUAUAUCGGAACGUACCUUAUUGUGGGGGAUAACGCAGCGAAAGCUGUGCUAAUACCGCAUAAUCCCUAAGGGGGAAAGCGGGGGACCGUAAGGCCUCGCGCAAUUAGAGCGGCCGAUACCUGAUUAGCUAGUUGGUGAGGUAAAGGCUCACCAAGGCAACGAUCAGUAGCUGGUCUGAGAGGACGAUCAGCCACACUGGGACUGAGACACGGCCCAGACUCCUACGGGAGGCAGCAGUGGGGAAUUUCGGACAAUGGGGGCAACCCUGAUCCAGCAAUGCCGCGUGAGUGAAGAAGGCCUUCGGGUUGCAAAGCUCUUUUGUCAGGGAAGAAACAGCAGCUCUAACACAGCUUGCGAAUGACGGUACCUGAAGAAUAAGCACCGGCUAACUACGUGCCAGCAGCCGCCGUAA
This 501-nucleotide ribosomal RNA is filed under the name uncultured bacterium. RNAcentral describes it as "partial 16S ribosomal RNA". It matches the Rfam family "Bacterial small subunit ribosomal RNA", at positions 28 to 523 of the family's 1533-position model. The record is from RNAcentral.